This 464-nucleotide ribosomal RNA is filed under the name uncultured Corynebacterium sp. RNAcentral's name for it is "bacterial SSU rRNA". It matches the Rfam family "Bacterial small subunit ribosomal RNA", at positions 920 to 1382 of the family's 1533-position model. The record is from RNAcentral. Lineage: Bacteria; Bacillati; Actinomycetota; Actinomycetes; Mycobacteriales; Corynebacteriaceae.
CCCGCACAAGCGGCGGAGCAUGUGGAUUAAUUCGAUGCAACGCGAAGAACCUUACCUGGGCUUGACAUACACCAGAUCGGCGCAGAGAUGCGUUUUCCCUUGUGGUUGGUGUACAGGUGGUGCAUGGUUGUCGUCAGCUCGUGUCGUGAGAUGUUGGGUUAAGUCCCGCAACGAGCGCAACCCUUGUCUUAUGUUGCCAGCACGUGAUGGUGGGGACUCAUGAGAGACUGCCGGGGUUAACUCGGAGGAAGGUGGGGAUGACGUCAAAUCAUCAUGCCCCUUAUGUCCAGGGCUUCACACAUGCUACAAUGGUCGGUACAACGCGUGUGCGACACUGUGAGGUGAAGCUAAUCGCUCUAAAGCCGGUCGUAGUUCGGAUUGGGGUCUGCAACUCGACCCCAUGAAGUCGGAGUCGCUAGUAAUCGCAGAUCAGCAACGCUGCGGUGAAUACGUUCCCGGGCCUU